CUCUUGAACGCCUCACAAAGUCCUCCGUUAGACAGACCAUUCAUUACCUAACAGCAACACAGCCGCAACGCAGCCAACAUGUCAGAGAAGAAACAGACCGUGGACCUCGGUUUACUGGAGGAAGACGAUGAGUUUGAAGAAUUCCCCGCUGAAGAUUGGACGGGGCUGGAUGAAGAUGAAGACGCUCAUGUCUGGGAAGACAACUGGGAUGAUGACAAUGUAGAGGAUGAUUUCUCAAAUCAACUAAGAGCAGAGCUGGAAAAACAUGGUUACAAGAUGGAGACGUCGUAGCAGCUGACAUGACCCUUCAGUGUUCGUGACAUUGGAUAUGGACUUUUAAUAUUUGAAUAAUAUUGGCUGACCACACACCACGGCCAGAGAUCUGAGGAUGUUCAUUUGUUUCCCUUUUUUUUUUGUAAGAAAUAUUGAUGCAGUAAAGUGUUUGGAGAAAACC
Molecule: long non-coding RNA, 454 nt
Organism: Sphaeramia orbicularis (orbiculate cardinalfish)
Lineage: Eukaryota; Metazoa; Chordata; Actinopteri; Kurtiformes; Apogonidae
Exons: 3
Source: RefSeq, a predicted model, not a curated record